This 870-nucleotide ribosomal RNA is filed under the name uncultured archaeon. RNAcentral describes it as "bacterial SSU rRNA". It matches the Rfam family "Archaeal small subunit ribosomal RNA", at positions 47 to 925 of the family's 1478-position model. The record is from RNAcentral.
AGCCAUGCGAGUCGAGAGGUGUAAGACCUCGGCAUACUGCUCAGUAACACGUGGACAACCUACCCUAAGGAGGGGGAUAACCCCGGGAAACUGGGGAUAAUACCCCAUAGACUAUGGAAGCUGGAAUGCUCUGUAGUUCAAAGGUUCACCGCCUUAGGAUGGGUCUGCGGCCGAUUAGGUUGUUGUUGGGGUAACGGCCCAACAAGCCUGUAAUCGGUACGGGUUGUGGGAGCAAGAGCCCGGAGGUGGAUUCUGAGACACGAAUCCAGGCCCUACGGGGCGCAGCAGGCGCGAAAACUUUACAAUGCGGGAAACCGUGAUAGGGGAACUCUGAGUGCCCGUUAAAUCGGGCUGUCCAUCAGUUUAAACAACUGGUGAAGAAAGGGCCGGGCAAGACCGGUGCCAGCCGCCGCGGUAAUACCGGCGGCUCGAGUGGUGGCCACUAUUACUGGGCUUAAAGCGUUCGUAGCUGGUUUGUUAAGUCUCUGGGGAAAUCUUCCGGCUUAACCGGAAGGCGUCUCAGGGAUACUGGCAGACUAGGGACCGGGAGAGGUGAGGGGUACUCCAGGGGUAGGAGUGAAAUCCUGUAAUCCUUGGGGGACCACCUGUGGCGAAGGCGCCCCACCAGAACGGCUCCGACAGUGAGGGACGAAAGCUGGGGGAGCAAACCGGAUUAGAUACCCGGGUAGUCCCAGCUGUAAACGAUGCAAACUCGGUGAUGCAUUGGCUUAUGGCCAAUGCAGUGCCGCAGGGAAGCCGUUAAGUUUGCCGCCUGGGAAGUACGGACGCAAGUCUGAAACUUAAAGGAAUUGGCGGGGGAGCACCACAAGGGGUGAAGCCUGCGGUUCAAUUGGACUCAACGCCGGGAAG